Molecule: long non-coding RNA, 1034 nt
Organism: Zingiber officinale
Lineage: Eukaryota; Viridiplantae; Streptophyta; Magnoliopsida; Zingiberales; Zingiberaceae
Exons: 3
Source: RefSeq, a predicted model, not a curated record
CUUCUUCCCUGACUCCCCUCCCUCGCGAUCCGAUUUCAUCGCCAGUCGUCGGGAAGCGACGCCGAUCGCCGGCACAAGGCAGCCCUUGAUCGUUGAGGAGGAAAGCUACCGCCCCGACCUCUCCCCUUUCUCUCUCCCUCGCCGCGAGUCUCUUUUCUCCCGAGCCCCGAGCCCCUUUCUCUCGAUUUCUCCUCGUCGAUCGUCGACCCACGAGACGUCGGAGCCAAGCUCGCAAGGUCUCCGAUCACCUCUCCUCACCGGAUCUUGAAGGUACUAAAGAUGUCCAAGCCAUCUCUGGAGGUGUGAUCGCUUCCUCGGUUGGUCCUUUUCCCCGUCCAGGAGAUCCGAUUAGGGUUCAAUGAGGGGCAUAGAUCCGCGUCGUCUCAAGCCAAUUGAACUUCUCAUUCAUCCUCUUCAAUUCGUUUGCUGGAGAGUGAUCGGUUGCUCUUCAUCAACCGGAUUGGAGUAGGCGAUGGCACCUGGAAAGGACCAAAUCUAGGUUGUUCUUGUUCUGGAUUGGAGGAAGGCAUCGGAUCAAGGUAUUGGUAGAUUUCUCUUCUACCGAUCACUGCUUCUCCACUUCUUGAAGCUGUGGAGGUCACGGGUGAGGAGGCAAGGGACUAUUGAGGGAGGAUAGGUGUGUGUGUGUGCUUGUAGCUUAUGGACAGGGGUCAUGGGGUUGUGAGCUACUGGAUUAGCUGCUUCAUCUUAAGGUAAGUGUUUUUCUAGUGAUGUACUACUAGUUUUCUUAUUAGAGUGCUACUCUAUUGGGUUUUCUAAGGGAUUGUAGAAUUGAUUCUUGAUGUUAGUAGAUGACACGUAGAUUAAACGAUGGUGUUAAAUGAAUUAAUUGAUUUGAAUUUGGGAUUUGGUUGUGAUAAGUUGAUUUGUGAUGGUUAUUUGGUGAAUGAUUUAUGUAAAUGGAUACAUGAUCAUUAUUUGUAUGUGUUGGAUUGAUUGAGGUUUAUAUUGGGUUGAAAUUUGUGGAUAUGAUGAUUGGUUGAUGUGGAUUAUUAUGUGAUCAUUCUUGAGAU